RNAcentral lists this long non-coding RNA (706 nucleotides) under Physcomitrium patens. RNAcentral's name for it is "long non-coding RNA (PPAT_LNC009369)". Lineage: Eukaryota; Viridiplantae; Streptophyta; Bryopsida; Funariales; Funariaceae. The record is from RNAcentral.
GGUUAGUGAGUAUUUCUAAGAUCUUCAGCAAUUUAUCAAUUGGAUUGAAGUAAUUUUUUUUUAUGAAGAUAUUAAACUUAAUUUUUUAAUAUUUUAGAUAAAAUUUGAUAGUGAUUUAAUAAUUCAAGAAGGAGAUAUUAAUAUUAAAAGUUCAGUAUUUAGAUUGGAAUAGGAGACUAUCUAAGACCCAAUUGGAUAAACUUAUAUUUCUCUCAAUUCAUAAGUACGAUUGAUUUCAUCUUUCUUAUAAUUGUUCUUUAUUAAGACAUUAAGAAGUACAUAAAUUUUGAGUUGAUAUCAAUGGUUUGAUUAUUAGUUGUUGAAGUUCCAAUUUACUAUAGAAUUUGUUAAGAGUUUAUUUAAGAUCUAAGAUUUGAUUAAAAUUUGAUUUAGGAUUUAAUCUAGGAUUUAAUUAGAAUUAAGAUUUGGUUAGGAUUUGAUUUAGAACUUAUCUAAGGUUUAUCUAGGAUUUAAGAAUUCAUUAGGAUUUAAGAAUUUAUUAGGAUUUCAUUAAGAUUUUACCUAGGAUUUGAUUAAGGUUAGAAUUUUCUUGGAAUUUGGUUUAGAAUUUGACUAAGAACUGAUUAGAAUUUGUCUAAGAUUUAUCUAAGAUUUUUUUAAGAUUUAAGAUUUAUUAGGUUUUUAUUGGGAUUUUAUUAGGAUUUGACAUAGGAUUUGAUUAAGGUUCCAUUAGAAUUUUAAUUAG